Molecule: ribosomal RNA, 464 nt
Filed under: uncultured Methylosarcina sp.
Lineage: Bacteria; Pseudomonadati; Pseudomonadota; Gammaproteobacteria; Methylococcales; Methylococcaceae
Description: bacterial SSU rRNA
Rfam family: Bacterial small subunit ribosomal RNA
Source: RNAcentral
CCUACGGGGGGCUGCAGUGGGGAAUAUUGGACAAUGGGCGAAAGCCUGAUCCAGCAAUACCGCGUGUGUGAAGAAGGCCUGAGGGUUGUAAAGCACUUUUAAUCGGGAGGAACACCUGUCAGCUAAUACCUGGCAGUAUGACAUUACCGAUAGAAAAAGCACCGGCUAACUCCGUGCCAGCAGCCGCGGUAAUACGGAGGGUGCAAGCGUUAAUCGGAAUUACUGGGCGUAAAGCGUGCGUAGGCGGUUAUUUAAGUCAGAUGUGAAAGCCCCGGGCUUAACCUGGGAACUGCAUUUGAUACUGGGUAACUAGAGUUGAGUAGAGGAGAGGGGAAUUUCAGGUGUAGCGGUGAAAUGCGUAGAGAUCUGAAGGAACACCAGUGGCGAAGGCGCCUCUCUGGACUCAAACUGACGCUGAGGUACGAAAGCGUGGGUAGCAAACAGGAUUAGAUACCCUAGUAGUC